Long non-coding RNA from Bombus impatiens (common eastern bumble bee), 264 nucleotides. RefSeq lists it as uncharacterized. The record is from RefSeq and is a predicted model, not a curated record. The transcript is spliced from 2 exons. NCBI's taxonomy places the organism in Eukaryota, Metazoa, Arthropoda, Insecta, Hymenoptera, Apidae.
AGACAUAUCACAGCUUGAACUUCUUUGUUUUCUUUGAGAAUGUUCCAACGGUGGCUCAAAAGCCAAGAAUGUUAGGGUUUUCUGAGUGUGAAAGAUGGCGGCAUGCAGAGAGAACUUGUUUACGUCGCUCCGUACUCUGCAGAAUAAAUUAUAGUGAAAAUAAGGAAAGGUGACAAAAAACGUGGACCAGAGUGUUGUGCCAGUGCGUGUGUGCAAAGUGCGCAAGAAAAUUGGCGAGGAAAGGACUGGAUGAAACAAUAAAGC